AAGCACACAUAGAGCAGACCUGAGCUCAGCCUGCAGCCUAAAGCAAAGCUGCCAAGUCAAGCCCAUCCUAGAGCAAUCUGGUCUCAGCCAAACCCGUCACCCUGGCUGCAGUGUGGAGGACAGAUAGUAAGGUGCCAAGACUGAAAGCAGGAAGCUGCAAAACCCAGUCUAGAGCGGGGGACUGGAAGAACUGGGCCAGGAAAGCUACCUACCACAUAAUGGACAAGGUUACAUAGUCAGACAAAGCCCCCAAGGUAAGUGUGUUAUUGUGUAACAUAAGGCCAUGAGUGCAUUUUAGAA
This is a long non-coding RNA of Lynx canadensis (Canada lynx), 300 nucleotides long. RefSeq lists it as uncharacterized. NCBI's taxonomy places the organism in Eukaryota, Metazoa, Chordata, Mammalia, Carnivora, Felidae. The record is from RefSeq and is a predicted model, not a curated record. The transcript is spliced from 3 exons.